This is a long non-coding RNA of Saccostrea echinata, 705 nucleotides long. RefSeq lists it as uncharacterized. The transcript has 4 exons. NCBI's taxonomy places the organism in Eukaryota, Metazoa, Mollusca, Bivalvia, Ostreida, Ostreidae. The record is from RefSeq and is a predicted model, not a curated record.
UCGUUUAAUGCAACAUAUCCGCUGUGCAGCGAAAAAUUGUGAGGUCCUAUGCAUGGGAUAGAUGUAAUAAUGAUACGAGGUACCCGGAAAGAAUACACAAGCAUUUAUGGGUCAUGAAAUACUGACUGUAAACAGCAAAAUCCAGUUCCCUCAGAUGGGUCACAGUCAUCAACAAAGCUUCUUUGGAUUUAUCGAGACAAGUUGAUCAACGAUGGAGCACGCAAGGAAACAGAAAAGAACCUUCACCCAUGUGUCAUAACAGAAUGUCCAAAUGAAUUGUUAACAGGCUACAUAAAUCUUUGGAUUAAUUUUACCAUGUUGGAGAACUACAACAAAAACAGAGAGAACCUACAGAACAGAAUAAGUAAUCGUCUACAACUCCACAUAGCAGCAAGAGAAAAACAAGGCCCACUUGCCAUGAAGAAAACAGUAAAAAAAAAUACAUGUCAGUGAUGUGUGUAUUAUUUAUACCAACAUGAAAUAUUAUUGAAAAUUUAUUAGAUUUUUUGACAUCAAAACAAUUCCACUGUAUGUAGAAAAGAAGGGGCAAUACAAAUGACAAAAGGAUUGUCUCAGUGACUAUUGGUAUUUUUUGUGCAAAUACUCCAUAAUUGUAUAUCAACACUGAUGUGGCUAUGGCACAAUUUUGGAUUAAAGGGUGUAGCAUCAAUGUUUGGUGUGUCAGUGAUUGACUAUGUGCAUGUG